GCCGAUGCAUAGAAUGGGAAAUCA
RNAcentral lists this non-coding RNA (24 nucleotides) under Arabidopsis thaliana (thale cress). The record is from RNAcentral. Lineage: Eukaryota; Viridiplantae; Streptophyta; Magnoliopsida; Brassicales; Brassicaceae.